AGGCCCAAAAAUUAUUGAAUUAAAAAUAGCCCAUGAAUUUUAAAUUAAACUGGCCCAGGAAUUAUUUUAUUUCCAGCCCGAACUAAUUAAAAUCUCAGCCUAUCUUAUUUCUCUAAUUUAUUUAAUGAGGACCAAAAAGUAGCCCAAGUAAAAAAAAAUGAGUCCAACAAAACACUCCAUCCUCCACUAUUGGAAAUUUCCAUCUCCCUCACUCCAAGUCAAAAUAAGAGAUCCCCAAUUGAAGAAACCCCAAAUCCGUCGCCUCCCUCAAUUUCUCAGCGCCGAUGCAGCGAUAGGGGGGAGGGGCUGGUCGCUGUUCAGUCUCCGUCGCACUUAUGCAGCAGCCACCGCCGUUGGAGAAUCCCUGCCGUCGUCUGGCUGCUUCGCGACUUCGUCGGCGUCGCUGGGCACUGCUGUUCGUUGGCCACCGCCACCGUUCAGCCUCCUAUUGCAGUCGCUGCUGGUCGGUCAGCCUCCGAUUAACCCCGAUUCAGCCCCAAAUUACUCCGAAAGAUAAGUUCUUUUUUUCCAAUCAGGUUCUUUCUUUUCAGUUCUCAAUUAAACCGUGAGGGGCGUGUUUGAUUGAUUUAGUUGUUGAUUUAAUUCCGAAUUAUGCGUGGGAGUGAUGUAUGAUGAUAUGCUGUGAGGGAAACACUUCAUAAACACCUCAUUUUUAAAUAAUAGUAGCAUCCUACCAAUCACAAUCAAUAGAUCUAUGUAAUUAACGCACAUGAUUAUGCCACAUCACCACUCAAAUAUUCAAUAAAAAUUUCGAUCAAUCAGUUAUAUAUUGUCCCUAAUUUGUCGACAUUUAUUAUUGCAGCAAAAAAAAGCGCGUUGGCGGCCCCCACACUCCGGUCCGACAUCAUGUGAGGGGUUCAAUCAGGGUACGCAGUAGCCUGUUAAGGGGGAGGUCUUAACCCACUGGCUGCCAGAAGCCCAUCUCCCAAGGCCUCACACUUGUGCCUGAGAGAUGGAAGCAACUACACGACAGCAGUGUGAUUCGAACCCAGACUCAUUGUAGCAAGAUCUGCCCCUCCGUUGCCAACUACGUCGACAUUUAUUAUUAUUUUUAUGGAGGUAACGGCUGGAAAGUGGGAUUGCUGAAGAAAGAUUAUUGCAUAAGAAAUUUACGCUCAUCUGCGCGAAAAAGAUGGAGAUUGGGCUCAAAAGAUUUUAUCAUCUCCAUUUGUUAGAUCGCAAGCCCAAAGUGAUUUAAUUUGUUGUAAUUAAAUCAAACCCAAAGUUAUUUAUUUAUUUGGACUCUUUUAUUUCUCAUGGCCCAAAGCCACUUUGAAUUAAACACUGGACUUUAUUUCAUUUAUUUGAUAAGCCACUUUGAAUUAAA
Long non-coding RNA from Salvia splendens (bonfire salvia), 1348 nucleotides. RefSeq lists it as uncharacterized. The transcript has 2 exons. Lineage: Eukaryota; Viridiplantae; Streptophyta; Magnoliopsida; Lamiales; Lamiaceae. The record is from RefSeq and is a predicted model, not a curated record.